UCCCUGGAGGUCCAGUGGUUAGGACUCCAAGCUUCCAAUGCAUGGUGCACAGGUUCAAUCCCUGUUCAGGGAA
Molecule: non-coding RNA, 73 nt
Organism: Bubalus bubalis (water buffalo)
Lineage: Eukaryota; Metazoa; Chordata; Mammalia; Artiodactyla; Bovidae
Source: the annotation of a RefSeq genome assembly